GGGGUAUAGCUCAGUUGGUUAGAGCGUCGGUCUUACAAACCGAAGGUCUCAGGUUCGAAUCCCGAUGCCC
Molecule: transfer RNA, 70 nt
Filed under: bovine gut metagenome
Rfam family: tRNA
About the family: Transfer RNA (tRNA) molecules are approximately 80 nucleotides in length. Their secondary structure includes four short double-helical elements and three loops (D, anti-codon, and T loops). Further hydrogen bonds mediate the characteristic L-shaped molecular structure. tRNAs have two regions of fundamental functional importance: the anti-codon, which is responsible for specific mRNA codon recognition, and the 3' end, to which the tRNAs corresponding amino acid is attached (by aminoacyl-tRNA synthetases). tRNAs cope with the degeneracy of the genetic code in two manners: having more than one tRNA (with a specific anti-codon) for a particular amino acid; and 'wobble' base-pairing, i.e. permitting non-standard base-pairing at the 3rd anti-codon position.
Source: RNAcentral